ACAGAUAUAGCAUAUAUAUAAAAGAUCAAAUAGAGAAAAACCCCGAAUAGCUUAAGGUUUCGGAGAAACCCUAUAAAUGAGAAAGGCUUGGAUGAAUGUCCGAUCUUUAGUCGGAUGAGUUAGAAUCGGGCUUCUAAUGCUUUAGAUAUGCCAGAGCAUGGCCAGAGAGGCCCCAGAACUGUAGGUCUGAGAAGAUAUGCAAGUGAACAACCGAGGUCAGAUCUCAAAACUUCAAUUACCCAUAGUCUAAUGGUGGAGGGGAGUGAGUACAGUCCGUCCAUGGCCUGAGAGGCCAUAGAUUCUGGUGAAGUGGCGGUUGAGAACGGGUGAGGGGGGAUAACGUUUCACAAACCAUUGAGAGCGUUUGAGGGACGAAAGGAUUAAAG
RNAcentral lists this long non-coding RNA (386 nucleotides) under Nicotiana benthamiana. RNAcentral's name for it is "long non-coding RNA (NBEN_LNC034338)". The record is from RNAcentral. Lineage: Eukaryota; Viridiplantae; Streptophyta; Magnoliopsida; Solanales; Solanaceae.